GGCAUAACGGAGAGAGGUUUUUUUUCACAGCUCUAGUGUUUGCCCUCUCUCCACCACUUAUGCUGCUUUGGUGUCUACUUUAAAAGGUGGAAGUAUUCAUUACCAGCUCUGCAGUGCUCCUGAAGAAAAGACCGGAUCCUACCGUAUCUAAUGGCUCAGAAUCAGUGUGGCUGAAAUCCCUGCUCGGAGACAAAAAUGGAAAUGCUCUCCCUGCAAUCACAGCCUUUCAUCCAGCCCACUAGGAAAUAUCGUGUCUAUUAGCCAUUAGCUGAUCUGAUAUCCUGGUUUAGACAGCUCAGGCGUCUCUCUGUGUGGCUGUCUGGAGGGAGACUGAAGAGAUUGCAGGCUUUGACCCAUGUGUCUGUUGAUUGACUCAAAUCAACCAAACUGUGGCCCAGAUCAGGCUGUCUGGAAACAGAUGUCCAUUGGUGAUUGAUUUGAUUGGCUGUCUAAUGCAUUGCCAAAUGUGUGUGAAUGCUCCGGAAGAGUCAAGGAGUCAUGUUACGAUGUGUUUGUUAGAAACAGGUUGUAAAAAUACGUUGGCAGAUUUAACAAUGUGAUGAUGGAUGUCAACAUACUUCUUGGAGUGAAGAUACAUUUUAGGAAAUGAUUCACCAAUGAAAUGAUAUAUGAUUAUGUAUAUUUGUAUUAAUAAACGUCUUU
Molecule: long non-coding RNA, 663 nt
Organism: Oncorhynchus nerka (sockeye salmon)
Lineage: Eukaryota; Metazoa; Chordata; Actinopteri; Salmoniformes; Salmonidae
Exons: 3
Source: RefSeq, a predicted model, not a curated record